This 1077-nucleotide unclassified non-coding RNA is filed under the name Hevea brasiliensis (rubber tree). Lineage: Eukaryota; Viridiplantae; Streptophyta; Magnoliopsida; Malpighiales; Euphorbiaceae. The record is from RNAcentral.
GGAAUUCUGAAAUGGGAGUCUAGUGUAUUUAUAUUGACAGAUUUGAGAUUAAUAGCUUACCUUCUUUGUAUGUUCUCCACAAGUUCAAACACAAACCAAUUUUAUGAAACCUAGACACGAUAAGAAGUACAAACUAUCUUCAUGUACAUUGUGAUCGAUAAACGAACACAACAUUAAUCUAAGAAUCCAUAAUUUGACAAGAACAAACGCGUCUAUAGGUUUUGAAAGUUGAAAAGAUACUGUCUUUAAGCAGUUGGCCAAGUUUUGGUCAUCUUUCAAACAGGAGGAUCUUCCAGUUUAGCAGUCGAUAAAUCAGUUAUGCGCGGAAACACAGCUUUUUCACCAAGCUGAUUCUGUGCCCAUAUUAACAUCUUCAAUAGGCUUGGAAGCUUUGGAUCCUUUUCAUGGCUUUGGCUGGUGAGAAUUGCAGCAUUGACCUCACUAGCGGUCUUUAGCCGCUGUGAUACAUCCAGGAGCUCUCCAACAGGGCAGUUGGACACGUCUUCAAAGGCCAACAAUGCAACAGUCUUCUCCAACUCUUCUAAGAAGCUUUGAUUUUCUUCUCCCCUUGGAGCGAGCUCCUCUUGAGCAAACUCCAAAGCCUCCUCAAUCUUUCCAUUCCUUAUCAACUCUAUCAGCCUUUGUUGCUGGAGGUGGAAAAAGAGCUGGGGGUUUGUAUCCAGUAUCUCAGGAUUCAAAUCAUUAACCUUCUCAAUUGCAUCCUCUACAUUACCAGCCUGUACUGCCUUUUUAACCGCCAUUCUAUCAGUGAUAGUAGCAAGAUCUAUAUCAGGAUCUGUUCCAGAUUCUUUUCUGAACUUUUCUGCUGCUUCAACAUAACCCUCUGUGACCAAAAAGUUCAUCACUAACUUAUUCAUAUCUUCUUUUCUAAUUUUUACAUCAUUGAGCCUUUUCUCCCACUCUUCUCUCGUGAUUACUUUCUUUGAUGUUGCCAUGGCUUCGAUUUCUGCUAAUUCGCGAAUCACAAUCCAGAACAAUGACAUCAGUAUUCAAAACUACGCCUUGAGACCCAUUAACACCACCGGAGCAAUCGUCGGAGUUCCUUUUACCGGUUCC